UGGGGAAUCUUGGACAAUGGGCGCAAGCCUGAUCCAGCCAUGCCGCGUGAGUGAUGAAGGCCUUAGGGUUGUAAAGCUCUUUUUGCCGGGGACGAUAAUGACGGUACCCGGAGAAUAAGUCCCGGCUAACUUCGUGCCAGCAGCCGCGGUAAUACGAAGGGGACUAGCGUUGUUCGGAAUCACUGGGCGUAAAGCGCACGUAGGCGGAUUUGUAAGUCAGGGGUGAAAUCCCGGGGCUCAACCUCGGAACUGCCUUUGAUACUGCGGAUCUCGAGUCCGAUAGAGGUGAGUGGAAUUCCUAGUGUAGAGGUGAAAUUCGUAGAUAUUAGGAAGAACACCGGUGGCGAAGGCGGCUCACUGGAUCGGUACUGACGCUGAGGUGCGAAAGCGUGGGGAGCAAACAGGAUUAGAUACCCAAGUAGUCCCUGAGCGGGCUGGCAAGGCGCAU
This 448-nucleotide ribosomal RNA is filed under the name uncultured bacterium. Its description in RNAcentral is "bacterial SSU rRNA". It matches the Rfam family "Bacterial small subunit ribosomal RNA", at positions 355 to 825 of the family's 1533-position model. The record is from RNAcentral.